GUUGGCAUUCUGGGCCUGCUUCACGAUGACUUUGUGUUAACUAUUCCAGGAUGUCAGCAUAAUU
This 64-nucleotide microRNA precursor is filed under the name Fukomys damarensis (Damara mole-rat). Its description in RNAcentral is "miRNA (ENSFDAG00000001315.1)". Lineage: Eukaryota; Metazoa; Chordata; Mammalia; Rodentia; Bathyergidae. The record is from RNAcentral.